AUGACGGCGCAGGCGCUCGUGCCGCCGCCGCCGGAGCCGCGGCAGCUCAGCCUGGCGGGCCUCAGGGCCGUCUCCGUGCUCGGCUGCGGCGCCAAGGGCGUCGUCUUCCACGUCGUGCCCAAGGGCGAGGGCGGCGCCGGCGAAGUCGCCAUGACACUCAAGGCGGUCUCGCGGGAGGCCGCGCGACACAAGAAGAGCGGCGGGAGCGGCGGCGGGGACGGACACCGAAGGAUCUGGUUCGAGCGCGACGUGCUCCUGGCCCUGCGCCACUUGCUGCUCCCCGCCCUCCGCGGCGUCUUCGCCACUGACGCCGUCAUCGGCUUCAUCGCUGCAGCGGCGGCGACCUGA
This 348-nucleotide ribosomal RNA is filed under the name Triticum aestivum (bread wheat). Its description in RNAcentral is "partial small subunit ribosomal RNA". The record is from RNAcentral. Lineage: Eukaryota; Viridiplantae; Streptophyta; Magnoliopsida; Poales; Poaceae.